AUUGAACGCUGGCGGCAUGCUUUACACAUGCAAGUCGAACGGCAGCACAGGGAGCUUGCUCCUGGGUGGCGAGUGGCGAACGGGUGAGUAAUGUAUCGGAACGUUCCUGGUAGUGGGGGAUAACUACUCGAAAGAGUGGCUAAUACCGCAUGAGAUCUUUGGAUGAAAGCGGGGGACCUUCGGGCCUCGUGCUACUGGAGCGGCCGAUAUCAGAUUAGGUUGUUGGUGGGGUAAAGGCCUACCAAGCCUGCGAUCUGUAGCUGGUCUGAGAGGACGACCAGCCACACUGGGACUGAGACACGGCCCAGACUCCUACGGGAGGCAGCAGUGGGGAAUUUUGGACAAUGGGCGCAAGCCUGAUCCAGCAAUGCCGCGUGCAGGACGAAGGCCUUCGGGUUGUAAACUGCUUUUGUACAGAACGAAAAGUCUCUGGCUAAUAUCUAGAGAUCAUGACGGUACUGUAAGAAUAAGCACCGGCUAACUACGUG
Molecule: ribosomal RNA, 488 nt
Filed under: uncultured bacterium
Lineage: Bacteria
Description: partial 16S ribosomal RNA
Rfam family: Bacterial small subunit ribosomal RNA
Source: RNAcentral